UAUUACCUGCUCUUUGACGAGUGCAGUGCAGCUCAGCGUUGUGUACGGUUGUGUACAGAGACAAAGGAUACUGGAGAUUGGUGUGUGACUCUGUGUACGUGAUUCGGAUCUCCAUGUGAACUCACCCUGUACAGGUGAAAAAAGCGUCAGCUACUGCACACUUGUUAAACAAAAACAAAUGUGGUUUUUUUUUUUAUCUUGAUCGAGUUUUUCUAGUGUGACGGCAGGCUCCGCGCCCACCGACACCAAAGGUCAGCCGAGCCAUACCAGUGCCCCAAAGCGUUCACCAAGGAGCUGAAACCGCAAGCCACACGACGGACUCGGACCCUAAACAAGUCCCGUUUGACUCUGCUCACCCUCUUCUUUGAGUUUCUUUGCUGCCUCACUCGGGGUGUCGUUUUUAGUUUGUUUUUUUCUUUGCAUCCGUUUUCAGACUCGGUGCCUAUGGUUGCCAAAUUUCUGUUUUCUGAGUCUGUAAUAAACUUUAUGCUAUCCGA
This is a long non-coding RNA of Trichomycterus rosablanca, 497 nucleotides long. RefSeq lists it as uncharacterized. NCBI's taxonomy places the organism in Eukaryota, Metazoa, Chordata, Actinopteri, Siluriformes, Trichomycteridae. The transcript is spliced from 2 exons. The record is from RefSeq and is a predicted model, not a curated record.